Molecule: ribosomal RNA, 253 nt
Filed under: uncultured bacterium
Lineage: Bacteria
Description: partial 16S ribosomal RNA
Rfam family: Bacterial small subunit ribosomal RNA
Source: RNAcentral
GACGAGGGGUCCUAGCGUUGUUCGGAAUCACUGGGCGUAAAGCGUUUGUAGGCGGCUCUAUAAGUCGGGUGUGAAAUCCCAUGGCUCAACCAUGGAAGUGCAUUCGAAACUGCAGAGCUUGAAUAUGGAAGAGGAGAGUAGAAUUCCUGGUGUAGUGGUGAAAUACGUAGAUAUCGGGAGGAACACCAGUGGCGAAGGCGGCUCUCUGGGCCCUACCUGACGCUGAGACGCGAAAGCGUGGGGAGCGAACCGG